GACGAACGCUGGCGGCGUGCUUAACACAUGCAAGUCGAACGGAAAGGCCCUGCUUUUGUGGGGUGCUCGAGUGGCGAACGGGUGAGUAACACGUGAGUAACCUGCCCUUGACUUUGGGAUAACUUCAGGAAACUGGGGCUAAUACCGGAUAGGAGCUCCUGCUGCAUGGUGGGGGUUGGAAAGUUUCGGCGGUUGGGGAUGGACUCGCGGCUUAUCAUCUUGUUGGUGGGGUAGUGGCUUACCAAGGCUUUGACGGGUAGCCGGCCUGAGAGGGUGACCGGCAACAUUGGGACUGAGAUACGGCCCAGACUCCUACGGGGGGCAGCAGUGGGGAAUAUUGCACAAUGGGCGGAAGCCUGAUGCAGCAACGCCGCGUGCGGGAUGACGGCCUUCGGUUGGUAAACCGCUUUCGCCUGUGACGAAGCGUGAGUGACGGUAAUGGGUAAAGAAGCACCGGCUAACUACGUG
This 468-nucleotide ribosomal RNA is filed under the name uncultured bacterium. RNAcentral's name for it is "partial 16S ribosomal RNA". It matches the Rfam family "Bacterial small subunit ribosomal RNA", at positions 28 to 507 of the family's 1533-position model. The record is from RNAcentral.